Cercocebus atys (sooty mangabey) is the source of this 1058-nucleotide long non-coding RNA. RefSeq lists it as uncharacterized. The transcript is spliced from 2 exons. The record is from RefSeq and is a predicted model, not a curated record. NCBI's taxonomy places the organism in Eukaryota, Metazoa, Chordata, Mammalia, Primates, Cercopithecidae.
GUCUGUCUCAAAAAAAAAAAAAAAAAUCUGUGGUUCAGCUCCUGUCUGCAAAAUGGGUAUAAGAAGAGCAUUUAUCUCAAAAGCUCCCAUGAAGCUUAAAUAGAUAUAAUAAAUAUAAAACACAAAGCACCAUGCUUGGCACACAGGAAGUCUUCAAAACAUGAUAGCUAUUUUGAUUAUGAUUAAAUGUCACUCUUCAGUUUGAAACCUUUAGUGGCUGCUGACUGCCUGUAGAAUAAGUCAAUUUUCUAACAAGCAUGUUACGUAUUGUAGCAUAAGAAGUACCAGUCUCAACUUAAGGCAAAUAAUGUGCUCGAAUCCUAGCUCUCCUCAUGAGCUCCGUGAGCCUAGAAAUCACUUAACUUCCCUGAGCCUCAGUUUUCACAGCCACCAAAUGAGAUGACACCACUUUGGGGGAGUUAAAAGCUGCGCUGAGUUAAAUAGUGUACCCCUAAAAUCUACAUGGAACCUUUGACUGUGACUUUUUUUGGAAACAGGGUCUCUGAAUAUGUAAUUAGUUAAGGUAAGGUCAUUCUGGAUUAGGGUGGGCCCUGAAUCUAGGACAACGGGUGUCCUUAAGAGAAGACAGGGACAGAGACACAGGGAGAAUGCCAUGUCAGGAUGGAGGCACAGACUGAGGUGAUCCAGCUGCAGAGCAAGGAAAACCAAGGGCUGCUGGCAACCACCAGAAGCUGGAGAGGCAAGGGAGGGGUCUCCCCUAGAGCCUCGAAAGGGAGCAUGGCACUGCCACAAUGUCCUUUCAGACUUCUCGUCUCCAGAUCUCUAAGAGAAUCCAUUUCUGUUGUUGUAAAUCACCCAGUUUGUAGGAAUUUGUUACAGCAGCCACAGGAAACUAAUACAAUAGUUACUCCAUGUUACACACAAGGAAACAGAGGUUAAGAAGUGUGUGGCCCAAGGUUACACAGUGAAGCUGGCAGGAAUUCAAACCCAUCUGGUUUUAUUCCAUGCUAACAACCACACUGCUGUCAUACCCAUUCCUGCAUGGAAUUAAGACAAGGUAUCGCUUCUGAAUUUUCUAGUGGAAAAAAAAAAAAAAA